GGUUAAUGCUAGCGGUGCGCCUAACACAUGCAAGUCGAGCGGAGAUGAGGUGCUUGCACCUUAUCUUAGCGGCGGACGGGUGAGUAAUGCUUAGGAAUCUGCCUAUUAGUGGGGGACAACAUUCCGAAAGGAAUGCUAAUACCGCAUACGUCCUACGGGAGAAAGCAGGGGAUCUUCGGACCUUGCGCUAAUAGAUGAGCCUAAGUCGGAUUAGCUAGUUGGUGGGGUAAAGGCCUACCAAGGCGACGAUCUGUAGCGGGUCUGAGAGGAUGAUCCGCCACACUGGGACUGAGACGCGGCACAGAGUCAUACGGGAGGCAGCAGUGGGGAAUAUUGGAAAAUGGGGGGAAUCCUGAUCCAGCCAUGCCGCGUGUGUGAAGAAGGCCUUAUGGUUGUAAAACACUUUAAGCGAGGAGGAGGCUACUGAGACUAAUACUCUUGGAUAGUGGACGUUACUCGCAGAAUAAGCACCGGCUAACUCUGUGCCAGCCGCCGCCGUAA
RNAcentral lists this ribosomal RNA (501 nucleotides) under uncultured bacterium. RNAcentral describes it as "partial 16S ribosomal RNA". It matches the Rfam family "Bacterial small subunit ribosomal RNA", at positions 28 to 523 of the family's 1533-position model. The record is from RNAcentral.